CCUUGACAUACUAAGAACUUUCCAGAGAUGGAUUUGUGCCUUCGGGAACUUAGAUACAGGUGCUGCAUGGCUGUCGUCAGCUCGUGUCGUGAGAUGUUGGGUUAAGUCCCGNAACGAGCGCAACCCUUUUCCUUAUUUGCCAGCGGGUCAUGCCGGGAACUUUAAGGAUACUGCCAGUGACAAACUGGAGGAAGGCGGGGACGACGUCAAGUCAUCAUGGCCCUUACGGCCAGGGCUACACACGUGCUACAAUGGUCGGUACAAAGGGUUGCUACCUCGCGAGAGGAUGCUAAUCUCAAAAAGCCGAUCGUAGUCCGGAUCGCAGUCUGCAACUCGACUGCGUGAAGUCGGAAUCGCUAGUAAUCGCGGAUCAGAAUGCCGCGGUGAAUACGUUCCCGGGCCUUGUACACACCGCCCGUCACACCAUGGGAGUUUGUUGCACCAGAAGUAGGUAGUCUAACCGCAAGGAGGACGCUUACCACGGUGUGGCCGAUGACUGGGGUGAAGUCGUAACAAGGUAGGCGUAGAUGA
This 531-nucleotide ribosomal RNA is filed under the name uncultured bacterium. RNAcentral describes it as "bacterial SSU rRNA". It matches the Rfam family "Bacterial small subunit ribosomal RNA", at positions 979 to 1509 of the family's 1533-position model. The record is from RNAcentral.